Molecule: unclassified non-coding RNA, 479 nt
Filed under: uncultured Paraphoma
Lineage: Eukaryota; Fungi; Ascomycota; Dothideomycetes; Pleosporales; Phaeosphaeriaceae
Description: sequence contains ITS1, 5.8S rRNA gene, ITS2
Rfam family: 5.8S ribosomal RNA (bases 171-324)
Source: RNAcentral
CCUUUCAAUGCAGCAGAAUUGGGAUGGUUGAGUAUCUCGCCUUUCAAUUCUGCCUGUAUUCCACCCUUGUUUCUCUUACACUAUUAUUUCCUCGGCAGGCUUGCCUGCCGAGUGAAACCAAUUAUAACCUAUUUAAUUUUCAAUCAGCGUCUGAAAAAAUUAAUAAUUACAACUUUCAACAACGGAUCUCUUGGUUCUGGCAUCGAUGAAGAACGCAGCGAAAUGCGAUAAGUAGUGUGAAUUGCAGAAUUCAGUGAAUCAUCGAAUCUUUGAACGCACAUUGCGCCCCUUGGUAUUCCAUGGGGCAUGCCUGUUCGAGCGUCAUUUGUACCUUCAAGCUUUGCUUGGUGUUGGGUGUUUGUCCUUUCUCUUGCAGAGGGACUCGCCUUAAAGUGAUUGGCAGCCAGUGUUUUGGUUUUGAAGCGCAGCACAAGUCGCGAUUCAAAGCUACACGCCAGCUUCCACAAGCCUUUUUCACU